UUUCCCGUAGGGGGGACCUGCGGAAGGAUCAUUACCGAGUGUAGGGUUCCUAGCGAGCCCAACCUCCCACCCGUGUUUACUGUACCUUAGUUGCUUCGGCGGGCCCGCCAUUCAUGGCCGCCGGGGGCUCUCAGCCCCGGGCCCGCGCCCGCCGGAGACACCACGAACUCUGUCUGAUCUAGUGAAGUCUGAGUUGAUUGUAUCGCAAUCAGUUAAAACUUUCAACAAUGGAUCUCUUGGUUCCGGCAUCGAUGAAGAACGCAGCGAAAUGCGAUAACUAGUGUGAAUUGCAGAAUUCCGUGAAUCAUCGAGUCUUUGAACGCACAUUGCGCCCCCUGGUAUUCCGGGGGGCAUGCCUGUCCGAGCGUCAUUGCUGCCCAUCAAGCACGGCUUGUGUGUUGGGUCGUCGUCCCCUCUCCGGGGGGGACGGGCCCCAAAGGCAGCGGCGGCACCGCGUCCGAUCCUCGAGCGUAUGGGGCUUUGUCACCCGCUCUGUAGGCCCGGCCGGCGCUUGCCGAACGCAAAUCAAUCUUUUCCAGGUUGACCUCGGAUCAGG
This 556-nucleotide ribosomal RNA is filed under the name Aspergillus flavus. RNAcentral's name for it is "eukaryotic LSU rRNA". The stretch from base 217 to 370 matches the Rfam family "5.8S ribosomal RNA". Lineage: Eukaryota; Fungi; Ascomycota; Eurotiomycetes; Eurotiales; Aspergillaceae. The record is from RNAcentral.